RNAcentral lists this ribosomal RNA (450 nucleotides) under uncultured bacterium. RNAcentral's name for it is "partial 16S ribosomal RNA". It matches the Rfam family "Bacterial small subunit ribosomal RNA", at positions 354 to 796 of the family's 1533-position model. The record is from RNAcentral.
GCUAAGAAUAUUCCGCAAUGGACGAAAGUCUGACGGAGCGACGCCGCGUGGAUGACGAAGGCCGAAAGGUUGUAAAGUCCUUUUGUCGAUGAAGAAUAAGUGCGGUAGGGAAUGACCGUAUGAUGACGUUAGUCGGCGAAUAAGCCCCGGCUAAUUACGUGCCAGCAGCCGCGGUAACACGUAAGGGGCAAGCGUUGUUCGGAAUUAUUGGGCGUAAAGGGUACGUAGGCGGUUAUGUAAGCCCGGCGUGAAAUCCUGCAGCUUAACUGUAGAGCUGCGCUGGGAACUGCAAAACUCGAGUCAUGGAAGGGAAGUUAGAAUUCCAGGUGUAGGGGUGAAAUCUGUAGAUAUCUGGAAGAAUACCGGUGGCGAAGGCGAACUUCUGGCCAAUGACUGACGCUGAGGUACGAAAGUGCGGGGAGCAAACAGGAUUAGAUACCCUAGUAGUCC